This 433-nucleotide ribosomal RNA is filed under the name uncultured bacterium. Its description in RNAcentral is "partial 16S ribosomal RNA". It matches the Rfam family "Bacterial small subunit ribosomal RNA", at positions 29 to 507 of the family's 1533-position model. The record is from RNAcentral.
AACGAACGCUGGCGGCAUGCCUAACACAUGCAAGUCGAACGAGACCUUCGGGUCUAGUGGCGCACGGGUGCGUAACGCGUGGGAACCUGCCCUUAGGUUCGGAAUAACUCCCCGAAAGGGGUGCUAAUACCGGAUAAUGUCUUCGGACCAAAGAUUUAUCGCCUUUGGAUGGGCCCGCGUUGGAUUAGCUAGUUGGUAGGGUAAAAGCCUACCAAGGCGACGAUCCAUAGCUGGUCUGAGAGGAUGAUCAGCCACACUGGGACUGAGACACGGCCCAGACUCCUACGGGAGGCAGCGGUGGGGAAGAUUGGACAAUGGGCGAAAGCCUGAUCCAGCAAUGCCGCGUGAGGGAUGAAGGCGUUAGGGUUGUAAAGCUCUUUUACCCGGGAUGAUAAUGACAGUACCGGGAGAAUAAACUCCGGCUAACUCCGUG